GGGGUUGUGGUCUAACUUGGUAGGAUUGGCGGUUCGGGACCGCCAAGUCGGGGUUCAAAUCCUCGCAACCCCA
RNAcentral lists this transfer RNA (73 nucleotides) under Candidatus Woesearchaeota archaeon CG10_big_fil_rev_8_21_14_0_10_44_13. RNAcentral describes it as "tRNA-Pro". It matches the Rfam family "tRNA". From Rfam's summary of the family: Transfer RNA (tRNA) molecules are approximately 80 nucleotides in length. Their secondary structure includes four short double-helical elements and three loops (D, anti-codon, and T loops). The record is from RNAcentral. Lineage: Archaea; Nanobdellati; Candidatus Woesearchaeota.